UACAGGGGGUGCAAACGUUGCUCGGAAUUAUUGGGCGUAAAGCGCGCGUAGGCGGCCGCUUAAGUCGGAUGUGAAAGCCCCUGGCUCAACUGGGGAAGUGCACCCGAAACUGAGUGGCUUGAGUACUAAAGAGGGUCGCGGAAUUCCCGGUGUAGAGGUGAAAUUCGUAGAUAUCGGGAGGAACACCGGUGGCGAAGGCGAUCUUCUGGACGGAUACUGACGCUGAGGCGCGAAAGCUAGGGGAGCAAACGGG
Molecule: ribosomal RNA, 253 nt
Filed under: uncultured bacterium
Lineage: Bacteria
Description: partial 16S ribosomal RNA
Rfam family: Bacterial small subunit ribosomal RNA
Source: RNAcentral